Molecule: ribosomal RNA, 423 nt
Filed under: uncultured prokaryote
Also listed under: 1 other name
Description: bacterial SSU rRNA
Rfam family: Bacterial small subunit ribosomal RNA
Source: RNAcentral
UGAGGAAUAUUGGUCAAUGGACGGAAGUCUGAACCAGCCAAGUCGCGUGAAGGAUGAAGGUUCUAUGGAUUGUAAACUUCUUUUGUCUGAGGGUAAAAAAGGCCACGUGUGGCUUCUUGCAAGUAUCAGACGAAUAAGCAUCGGCUAACUCCGUGCCAGCAGCCGCGGUAAUACGGAGGAUGCGAGCGUUAUCCGGAUUUAUUGGGUUUAAAGGGUGCGCAGGCGGUUUGUUAAGUCAGUGGUAAAAGCGUGUGGCUCAACCAUACCAAGCCAUUGAAACUGGCGAACUUGAGUGCAAACGAGGUAGGCGGAAUGUGAUGUGUAGCGGUGAAAUGCUUAGAUAUGUCACAGAACCCCGAUUGCGAAGGCAGCUUACCAGCAUGCAACUGACGCUCAGGCACGAAAGCGUGGGUAUCAAACAGG